This 446-nucleotide long non-coding RNA is filed under the name Salmo salar (Atlantic salmon). RNAcentral's name for it is "lncRNA (ENSSSAG00000098626.1, ENSSSAG00075011983.1)". Lineage: Eukaryota; Metazoa; Chordata; Actinopteri; Salmoniformes; Salmonidae. The record is from RNAcentral.
CUUAAAUGAAAACCAGACGCACAGCCCUGUUUGGUCUGGAUGGAAGCAGUGGGGAAUAUGAUGUCACAAACCUGGAGUGAGAUUCUCUUCUCACCUCCCUCCUUCCGUUUCUUCCUCCAUCUCUAAAGGACCCUUUUUGGAUAAUCUGGCUAUUCAGAGAUCUGGAUAUUUGUUUCAAAAGGGAUUAAACAUUGACAUUCUGGAAAGACACCAGGCCUUCCAGAUGAUCCGUGGCAUUGGACAGACGAGUGACGUGGCCAAUGGAUCUCACACCCGGACCCAACACAAGAGCACUUACGGCCGGUGGUAGCUGGUCCGCUGCAGGAAAAUGAGGUACGGGAGGUCCCUCCACCCCCCCUGGACAUCGGGGGGCCCCCGGUGUACACAGUCCGGUCCAUCUUGGACUCCAGACGCUGGGCGAGGGGCCUGCAGUACCUCGUGGACUG